GAUGAACGCUGGCGGCGUGCCUAAUACAUGCAAGUCGAGCGAACAGACGAGGAGCUUGCUCUUCUGACGUUAGCGGCGGACGGGUGAGUAACACGUGGAUAACCUACCUAUAAUACUGGGAUAACUUCGGGAAACCGGAGCUAAUACCGGAUAAUAUAUUGAACCGCAUGGUUCAAUAGUGAAAGACGGUUUUGCUGUCACUUAUAGAUGGAUCCGCGCUGCAUUAGCUAGUUGGUAAGGUAACGGCUUACCAAGGCAACGAUGCGUAGCCGACCUGAGAGGGUGAUCGGCCAAACUGGAAAUGAGACACGGUCCAGACUCCUACGGGAGGCAGCAGUAGGGAAUAUUCCGCAAUGGGCGAAAGCCUGACGGAGCAACGCCGCGUGAGUGAUGAAGGUCUUCGGAUCGUAAAACUCUGUUAUUAGGGAAGAACAAAUGUGUAAGUAACUAUGCACGUCUUGACGGUACCUAAUCAGAAAGCCACGGCUAACUACGUG
This 497-nucleotide ribosomal RNA is filed under the name uncultured bacterium. RNAcentral describes it as "partial 16S ribosomal RNA". It matches the Rfam family "Bacterial small subunit ribosomal RNA", at positions 28 to 507 of the family's 1533-position model. The record is from RNAcentral.